AUUGAACGCUGGCGGCAGGCUUAACACAUGCAAGUCGAGCGGAGAGAGGUAGCUUGCUACUGAUCUUAGCGGCGGACGGGUGAGUAAUGCUUAGGAAUCUGCCUAUUAGUGGGGGACAACAUUUCGAAAGGAAUGCUAAUACCGCAUACGUCCUACGGGAGAAAGCAGGGGAUCUUUGGACCUUGCGCUAAUAGAGGAGCCUAAGUCGGAUUAGCUAGUUGGUGGGGUAAAGGCCUACCAAGGCGACGAUCUGUAGCGGGUCUGAGAGGAUGAUCCGCCACACUGGGACUGAGACACGGCCCAGACUCCUACGGGAGGCAGCAGUGGGGAAUAUUGGACAAUGGGCGCAAGCCUGAUCCAGCCAUGCCGCGUGUGUGAAGAAGGCCUUAUGGUUGUAAAGCACUUUAAGCGAGGAGGAGGCUACUUUAGUUAAUACCUAGAGAUAGUGGACGUUACUCGCAGAAUAAGCACCGGCUAACUCUGUGCCAGCCGCCGCAGUAA
This 501-nucleotide ribosomal RNA is filed under the name uncultured bacterium. RNAcentral describes it as "partial 16S ribosomal RNA". It matches the Rfam family "Bacterial small subunit ribosomal RNA", at positions 30 to 523 of the family's 1533-position model. The record is from RNAcentral.